UAACGGUCCGGAACGGGCGCUAAUACCGCAUACGUCCUGAGGGAGAAAGUGGGGGAUCUUCGGACCUCACGCUAUCAGAUGAGCCUAGGUCGGAUUAGCUAGUUGGUGGGGUAAAGGCCUACCAAGGCGACGAUCCGUAACUGGUCUGAGAGGAUGAUCAGUCACACUGGAACUGAGACACGGUCCAGACUCCUACGGGAGGCAGCAGUGGGGAAUAUUGGACAAUGGGCGAAAGCCUGAUCCAGCCAUGCCGCGUGUGUGAAGAAGGUCUUCGGAUUGUAAAGCACUUUAAGUUGGGAGGAAGGGCAGUAAGUUAAUACCUUGCUGUUUUGACGUUACCAACAGAAUAAGCACCGGCUAACUUCGUGCCAGCAGCCGCGGUAAUACGAAGGGUGCAAGCGUUAAUCGGAAUUACUGGGCGUAAAGCGCGCGUAGGUGGUUCAGCAAGUUGGAUGUGAAAUCCCCGGGCUCAACCUGGGAACUGCAUCCAAAACUACUGAGCUAGAGUACGGUAGAGGGUGGUGGAAUUUCCUGUGUAGCGGUGAAAUGCGUAGAUAUAGGAAGGAACACCAGUGACGGA
This 580-nucleotide ribosomal RNA is filed under the name Pseudomonas aeruginosa. RNAcentral's name for it is "bacterial SSU rRNA". It matches the Rfam family "Bacterial small subunit ribosomal RNA", at positions 144 to 719 of the family's 1533-position model. Lineage: Bacteria; Pseudomonadati; Pseudomonadota; Gammaproteobacteria; Pseudomonadales; Pseudomonadaceae. The record is from RNAcentral.